GGCUCAUGAUAUAGUGGUUUGAGUGUUGGACUAUGACUCUAGAGAUCAGGGUUCGAUUCCCAGCUUGGCCA
Non-coding RNA from Phrynosoma platyrhinos (Desert horned lizard), 71 nucleotides. NCBI's taxonomy places the organism in Eukaryota, Metazoa, Chordata, Lepidosauria, Squamata, Phrynosomatidae. The record is from the annotation of a GenBank genome assembly.